This 246-nucleotide ribosomal RNA is filed under the name uncultured bacterium. RNAcentral describes it as "partial 16S ribosomal RNA". It matches the Rfam family "Bacterial small subunit ribosomal RNA", at positions 524 to 768 of the family's 1533-position model. The record is from RNAcentral.
UACGUAGGGGGGCAAGCGUUGUCCGGAUUUACUGGGCGUAAAGAGCGUGUAGGCGGCCAAGCAGGUCCGUUGUGAAAACUGGGAGGCUUAACCUCCAGACGUCGACGGAAACCGCGCGGCUAAGACCGGAAGAGGAGAGUGGAAUUCCUGGUGUAGCGGUGAAAUGCGCAGAUAUCAGGAAGAACACCAAUGGCGAAGGCAGCUCUCUGGGACGGUACUGACGCUGAGACGCGAAAGCGUGGGGAG